This is a long non-coding RNA of Esox lucius (northern pike), 1310 nucleotides long. Lineage: Eukaryota; Metazoa; Chordata; Actinopteri; Esociformes; Esocidae. The record is from Ensembl.
AUUUUUCUUUUUAUAUUUUAUUAUUAUGAUGUUUUCAUUUGAGUAUUUGUGUUUAUGCUAUUGUAUUUUUCAAUGUUUUCUUUGUAAAGCUUAAUUGAACUGCUUCUAUGUAUGAAUUGUGCUAUAUAAAUAAGCUUGCUUGCUAUAUCAAAAUGUGGUGGCAUGUUAAAAAAUAAAAAAUUUGGAAACCCAGCCAUAAUGGCACUGAAACACAAAAAAUAUUGCUACACCUUUGACAACAUCUGCUUUACAUGUGUGCAACCAAUAAAAUAAAAGUAGGGACAAAUACCAAUUUGUUUUUCAAUGGUAUUAACCCACCUGUACACACGCCAUUGUGUCUUGGCCAAUGCAGAGAAACAGAGUUUCCUUGGUGUAUGUUUUGCAGGUGCAUUCUAGGAGCCCCAAGCUAUAAUUGUUAUGACCAGCACUUCUCAGUCUCCAACUGUCUAACAGUGUGUGUGAUGUGAACACGUUACCAAAGGGGUAAUUGUCUAAUCAACUUUUAUUCAUGCCAUAAGCAUUUGUUUUUUUAUUAGCUAGGAUAAAGCCAUGAAAUCCAGAAAAGUGGCUAAUCUGUCAAUUGCAAUUUUUUUAAAUACACAUUCAUAUAACUACCUGUGGUCUACUCAUAGUGAGUUACAUUUCAUUUUCGUAAACACAUCAGCCAGUCAGCGAAAAAAGCUGACAUGAAAUUGUGGAUAAGAUCGACUGUUUCAAAUUUCUGCUCAUCAAUUGUAGAGCCAUGUAGACUAAAGUGGAAAGAAACACAAAUUUCUCUCGUUUUCCAUGAGAAUCAGAAUACAUUUUAGAAUAUCUCACGUGUCUCAGGAAUGCUCCUGAUAGAAUUUUGCAAGUGAAGUUGAUAACAUGGUGAGUGUAAGUAUAUGUUGUUUAGAUGAGGUGGGGUUUAAUUUGGUACAGUAUAUUUAUUGUUCUAGAUUGAUUUUCAAGUCAUAUUAACAACAACAUAUAAAAGGGUCAUACUUGGUUGAAAAUGACUCAUUUCAACAACAAAAUGUCUGGAUUCUGUUGGUCACAAUGCAUAUUAAAUUUUACUCAUUUUGGUUAUAGCCCUGAACUACCUCAUCUGAAAGACUUAAUCAGACGCGUAAAAAAACGUGGACUACCUGUGUAGAGGACAGAUGUUUAGAAUAUAGUACCCAUGUAUUAUUUUGAUUAUCUUCAUGAUUUGUGUAUUAAUUGCAUUAUGAACACUGAUAAGCCUCUUUAGGCAUUGGAUUCUGUUAAAUUAUUAGAAACCUGCUUUUGAAUAAAAGCCAUGCUGAAUAAAACUAAAAUAAUCAACUGCU